Molecule: transfer RNA, 537 nt
Filed under: uncultured cyanobacterium
Lineage: Bacteria; Bacillati; Cyanobacteriota
Description: partial miscellaneous RNA
Rfam family: tRNA (bases 208-280)
Source: RNAcentral
CAGGGAGACAACAAAAUGUUUAAUAUUAUUUUGUCACCUUAGGUCGAUCGGUAUCUCACAUUCUUAAUCUAUUAAGGAUUUCAUUUCCUAAGUUUUUCUAGGUCACACCCAUUUUUUUCCUGGGCCAUUAGCUCAGGUGGUUAGAGCGCACCCCUGAUAAGGGUGAGGUCCCUGGUUCAAGUCCAGGAUGGCCCAUAUCUCUAUGUUGGGGGUAUAGCUCAGUUGGUAGAGCGCCUGCUUUGCAAGCAGGAUGUCAGCGGUUCGAGUCCGCUUACCUCCACUGAUUACCACCUCUUCCAUAAUCGGUUAGAAGGAAAAUUCUUGAGUUGUGACCAAAUUCUGAACGAAUCUAGCUUCCUAAUGAAAUCAUUAAGAUGCUGGACUCAUUGAAUUAAUUUCAUUGUUUUCAGAGAACCUUGACAACUGCAUAGAUUAUUUUUAAAGACAAUAAGCAUCUUUAACGAUGCAGAUUUAUUAUUUGUGCGAAUGCAUUAAUAACAAUUCUAUUAAGCUGAUGCUUCAAUUUUUGAAGUUAUU